This 290-nucleotide ribosomal RNA is filed under the name uncultured Peptoniphilus sp. Its description in RNAcentral is "partial 16S ribosomal RNA". It matches the Rfam family "Bacterial small subunit ribosomal RNA", at positions 76 to 354 of the family's 1533-position model. Lineage: Bacteria; Bacillati; Bacillota; Tissierellia; Tissierellales; Peptoniphilaceae. The record is from RNAcentral.
CCCUUCGGGGCGAAGAUAAGACGGAUUAGCGGCGGACGGGUGAGUAACACGUGAGUAACCUGCCUUUUACACAGGGAUAGCCUCGGGAAACCGGGAUUAAAACCUGAUGAAACUAUCAAAUCACAUGAUUAAGAAAGUUAAAACUCCGGUGGUAAAAGAUGACUCGCGUCCCAUUAGCUAGUUGGUGAAGGUAACGGCCCACCAAGGCAACGAUGGGUAGCCGGCCUGAGAGGGUGAACGGCCACAUUGUAACUGAGAAACGGUCCAAACUCCUACGGGAGGCAGCAGGA